AUUGAACGCUGGCGGCAUGCCUUACACAUGCAAGUCGAACGGUAACGCGGGGCAACCUGGCGACGAGUGGCGAACGGGUGAGUAAUGCAUCGGAACGUGCCUGGUAGUGGGGGAUAACUGCUCGAAAGAGCAGCUAAUACCGCAUACGACCUGAGGGUGAAAGGGGGGGAUCGCAAGACCUCUCGCUAUCAGAGCGGCCGAUGUCGGAUUAGCUAGUUGGUGGGGUAAAGGCCCACCAAGGCGACGAUCCGUAGCUGGUCUGAGAGGACGACCAGCCACACUGGGACUGAGACACGGCCCAGACUCCUACGGGAGGCAGCAGUGGGGAAUUUUGGACAAUGGACGCAAGUCUGAUCCAGCCAUGCCGCGUGCGGGAGGAAGGCCUUCGGGUUGUAAACCGCUUUUGUCAGGGAAGAAAUCUUCUGGACUAAUACUCUGGGAGGAUGACGGUACCUGAAGAAUAAGCACCGGCUAACUACGUGCCAGCCGCCGCGGUAA
This 498-nucleotide ribosomal RNA is filed under the name uncultured bacterium. Its description in RNAcentral is "partial 16S ribosomal RNA". It matches the Rfam family "Bacterial small subunit ribosomal RNA", at positions 29 to 523 of the family's 1533-position model. The record is from RNAcentral.